GACUCUUUCCUUCAGUUGGUUAGAGCGCGUGGCUGUUAACCACGAGGUCGGAGGUUCAAGCUUUCCUUCAUGCGCUA
This 77-nucleotide transfer RNA is filed under the name Salix viminalis (osier). Lineage: Eukaryota; Viridiplantae; Streptophyta; Magnoliopsida; Malpighiales; Salicaceae. The record is from RNAcentral.